GUGAGUUUCUGAACCUACGGUUUCCGGUGUUGGACCUAAGGUUUUAUCUGUUGAUUGAAGGCCGAUCUUCUCCGCUCGCGAAGAAGGAGGGUAACUCUGUCCUUAUUUUGAGUAUUGUAUGCUUUGUAUGAGAACUCUGGUUCCGUUAUGCUUUGCUUACCGAAACUAUUUUCUUUUCAAAUUGGUUCAUUAAUCAUGGCUUCUAAUACGAAUGCUAGUACCUCCUUAGUGGACUCUACCAGCCCCCUUUUUGUUUACUCCUCUGAUGUUCCUGGGGUCUCUCUUGUGCCCACUCCCUUCUCGGGCAGUGGUUAUGGGGGUUGGAGGAGGAAAAUGAUUGUCGCGUUAUCUGCUAAAAACAAAAUUGGUUUUGUUGAUG
RNAcentral lists this long non-coding RNA (379 nucleotides) under Nicotiana benthamiana. RNAcentral describes it as "long non-coding RNA (NBEN_LNC016565)". The record is from RNAcentral. Lineage: Eukaryota; Viridiplantae; Streptophyta; Magnoliopsida; Solanales; Solanaceae.